CCUACGGGUGGCAGCAGUGGGGAAUAUUGGGCAAUGGGCGCAAGCCUGACCCAGCAACGCCGCGUGAAGGAAGAAGGCCCUCGGGUUGUAAACUUCUUUUGUCAGGGACGAAACAAAUGACGGUACCUGACGAAUAAGCCACGGCUAACUACGUGCCAGCAGCCGCGGUAAUACGGAGGUGGCAAGCGUUAUCCGGAUUUACUGGGUGUAAAGGGCGUGUAGGCGGGAAAGCAAGUCAGAUGUGAAAGUCCAGGGCGCAACCCUGGAACUGCAUUUGAAACUGUUUUGCUUGAGUGAUGGAGAGGCAGGCGGAAUGCGGUGUGUAGCGGUGAAAUGCGUAGAUAUACGGAGGAACACCAGUGGCGAAGGCGGCCUGCUGGACAUUAACUGACGCUGAGGCGCGAAAGCGUGGGGAGCGAACAGGAUUAGAUACCCUAGUAGUC
Molecule: ribosomal RNA, 443 nt
Filed under: uncultured bacterium
Lineage: Bacteria
Description: partial 16S ribosomal RNA
Rfam family: Bacterial small subunit ribosomal RNA
Source: RNAcentral